UACGUAGGGGGCUAGCGUUAUCCGGAAUUACUGGGCGUAAAGGGUGCGUAGGUGGUUUCUUAAGUCAGAGGUGAAAGGCUACGGCUCAACCGUAGUAAGCCUUUGAAACUGGGAAACUUGAGUGCAGGAGAGGAGAGUGGAAUUCCUAGUGUAGCGGUGAAAUGCGUAGAUAUUAGGAGGAACACCAGUUGCGAAGGCGGCUCUCUGGACUGUAACUGACACUGAGGCACGAAAGCCAGGGGAGCAAACGGGAUUAGAUACCCGUGUAGUCCCUGAGCGGG
This 281-nucleotide ribosomal RNA is filed under the name uncultured prokaryote. RNAcentral's name for it is "partial 16S ribosomal RNA". It matches the Rfam family "Bacterial small subunit ribosomal RNA", at positions 524 to 803 of the family's 1533-position model. The record is from RNAcentral.